This 459-nucleotide ribosomal RNA is filed under the name uncultured bacterium. RNAcentral's name for it is "partial 16S ribosomal RNA". It matches the Rfam family "Bacterial small subunit ribosomal RNA", at positions 338 to 795 of the family's 1533-position model. The record is from RNAcentral.
CCUACGGGAGGCAGCAGUGAGGAAUAUUGGUCAAUGGCCGGAAGGCUGAACCAGCCAAGCCGCGUGAGGGAGGAAGGCGCAGAGCGUCGCAGACCUCUUUUGCCGGGGGACAAAAGGCCGGACUCGUAAGGUCCGGAGGGUACCCGGAGAAAAAGCAUCGGCUAAAUCAGGGCCAGCAGCCGCGGUAAUACGGAGGAUGAGAGCGUUAUCCGGAUGCAUUGGGUUCGAGGGGUGCGCGGGCGGGCCUUUAAGCCGGCGGUGAAAUCGCGGGGCUCAACCCCGCAGAGCCGUCGGAACUGGGGGCCGUGAGUGCGGCAGAGGCAUGCGGAAUGCGCGGUGUAGCAGUGAAAUGCAUAGAUAUCGCGCAGAACCCCGAUGGCGAAGGCAGCGUGCCGUGCCGCCACUGACGCUGAGGCACGAAAGCGCGGGGAUCGAACAGGAUUAGAUACCCCUGUAGUC